UACGGAGGGUGCAAGCGUUGUUCGGAAUUACUGGGCGUAAAGCGCGUGUAGGCGGUCGCUUAAGUCUGAUGUGAAAGCCCGGGGCUCACCCCCGGAAGAGCAUUGGAAACUGGGCGACUAGAGUGCCGGAGAGGAGGGUGGAAUUCCUGGUGUAGCGGUGAAAUGCGUAGAUAUCAGGAGGAACACCGGUGGCGAAGGCGGCCCUCUGGACGGAUACUGACGCUGAGACGCGAAAGCGUGGGGAGCAAACAGG
RNAcentral lists this ribosomal RNA (253 nucleotides) under uncultured bacterium. RNAcentral's name for it is "partial 16S ribosomal RNA". It matches the Rfam family "Bacterial small subunit ribosomal RNA", at positions 524 to 776 of the family's 1533-position model. The record is from RNAcentral.